RNAcentral lists this ribosomal RNA (403 nucleotides) under uncultured bacterium. RNAcentral's name for it is "partial 16S ribosomal RNA". It matches the Rfam family "Bacterial small subunit ribosomal RNA", at positions 28 to 526 of the family's 1533-position model. The record is from RNAcentral.
GACGAACGCUGGCGGCGUGCCUAAUACAUGCAAGUCGAACGCAGUGGGGACGGGUGAGUAACACGUGGGUAACCUCCCAUCAGAGGGGAUAACACUUGGAAACAGGUGCUAAACCGAUACUGAUGGAUGGACCCGCGGUGCAUUAGCUAGUUGGUGAGGUAACGGCUCACCAAGGCCACGAUGCAUAGCGACCCGGGGAGGGUGAGCGGCAAAACGGGGACUGAGAAACGGACCAGACUCCGACGGGAGGAAGAAGUAGGGAAUCUUCGGAAAUGGAGGAAAGUCUGACCGAGCAACGCCGCGUGAGUGAAGAAGGUUUUCGGAUCGUAAAACUCUGUUGUUAGAGAAGCGGUAUCUAACCAGAAAGCCACGGCUAACUACGUGCCAGCAGCCGCGGUAAUAC